UGAUGUGAGGGUGGUCUGGCUGUGACAUCUGUCAUCCCAUUGACGGCCAGGGUUGAUCUGGCUGAUCUGACUGGCUAGGCGAGUAUUGCACUCCUCCCUCACCAGUCCAUGUGUGUCCCUGCUGAAGUGUGAAGCUGUGAGCUCAGUGGAAGAGGGUGACCACCCCUGAUAGAGGAGGACCAUUUCUUCAGUCAAGGGUAUAGCGUAGAUGUGCUCCCCUGGUAGAACUUCAAACAAGUUUUCAAAGAAGAACAUGAGACCAUCAGUGUGUACAUAAGAUUCAAAGUGUAAUAGGGAAUGACAAAUU
This 307-nucleotide small nuclear RNA is filed under the name Chinchilla lanigera (long-tailed chinchilla). RNAcentral describes it as "7SK RNA (ENSCLAG00000021532.1)". It matches the Rfam family "7SK RNA". From Rfam's summary of the family: 7SK was discovered as an abundant small nuclear RNA in the mid-70s but a possible function has only recently been suggested. Lineage: Eukaryota; Metazoa; Chordata; Mammalia; Rodentia; Chinchillidae. The record is from RNAcentral.